GUCAGGUGUAAUAACAUAAGUGACCAGCAGAGGGAGCUAUGUAUUAGAGCGUGUGGUGCGUUUAGUAAACAGGAACACACGAUAAAGAAGUAACUAGAGGAGGUAGGAUGUUGAAGAGACACGCAGGUAAUAUAAUAAAGUUCGAGCGCAAGCUCAUGUUCACAAGAAGAUGUUUCGUCAUUUAAUGAUGAACAACACAUGAUGACAGAGGAGUGGUCAAGUGUUUCUGGAACAGACUUCCGCUUUUAGCUUUAAUAUCAAUAACUUUAAUCUCUCUCUCAGAGUUUAGCUCUGGCGCCAUCUUGUGACAGCCAUGCUAACAGCUCUGUGAGGCUGCACUGUGGAUGAGUGGUGGUUAAAGCUAAAUGCUAACACAUUAGUUUACCCUGUUAGCAUGGGAUACGUCCACGGACGUGACUCACGCAGGGCGACGUCAUCACGUAGAACGUGCAGAGAGUGCCGUCAGUCUCCUCACCUUCAGUCUCUGAGUCUCUUAUCGUCCGGUCACAGAGGAACCUGGAUUAAACUUCUCUCUGGACUUUCAUCCUCCUCUUGGCUUUCCUCUCCUGCUCACCUGUUGCAGGAAAUGCGACUCCUCAUUCUGCUUCGAGACGACCAGCGGCUCUCCUUUUAGCCUCAACUCGAACUGUGGAAAACCAGCACAAGGAGCUGCAUCAUUCAAGAUGGAACAGCGAAGUGUCACCUUCUCUCCCUCCACCACAGGAAGUCCGGGGCUCUCCAGGAUCACACCAUCUGAAAUAUAGAAAUAAUUCUAAUUGUACAAAUGGUUUUAACAGCAUAAUAUAUAACACAAAUAAGC
Seriola aureovittata is the source of this 820-nucleotide long non-coding RNA. RefSeq lists it as uncharacterized. The record is from RefSeq and is a predicted model, not a curated record. NCBI's taxonomy places the organism in Eukaryota, Metazoa, Chordata, Actinopteri, Carangiformes, Carangidae. The transcript is spliced from 3 exons.